RNAcentral lists this long non-coding RNA (1713 nucleotides) under Cottoperca gobio. Its description in RNAcentral is "lncRNA (ENSCGOG00000020960.1)". The record is from RNAcentral. Lineage: Eukaryota; Metazoa; Chordata; Actinopteri; Perciformes; Bovichtidae.
AUGCAUUGUUACACACUGCACUAUACAUUGUUACACACUGCACUAUACAUUGUUACACACUGUACUAUACAUUGUUACACACUGCACUAUUGUUACACACUACUACACACUGUAGUACACAUUGUUACACACUGCACGAUACAUUGUUACACACUGUACUACACAUUGUUACACACUGCACUACGCAUUGUUACACACUGCACUACGCAUUGUUACACACUGCACUACGCAUUGUUACAGACUGCACUACACAUUGUUACACACUGCACUACACAUUGUUACACACUGCACUAUACAUUGUUAAACACUGCACUACGCAUUGUUACACACUGCACUAUGCAUUGUUACACACUGCACUAUGCAUUGUUACACACUGCACUAUACAUUGUUACACAUACAUUGUUACACACUGUACUACACAUUGUUACACAUUGCACUACGCAUUGUUACACACUGCACUACACAUUGUUACACACUGCACUACGCAUUGUUACACACUGCACUACGCAUUGUUACACACUGCACUACGCAUUGUUACACACUGCACUAUGCAUUGUUACACACUGCACUACACAUUGUUACACACUGCACUAUACAUUGUUACACACUGCACUAUACAUUGUUACACAUACAUUGUUACACACUGCACUACGCAUUGUUACACACUGCACUACACAUUGUUACACACUGCACUACACAUUGUUACACACUGCACUACGCAUUGUUACACACUGCACUACGCAUUGUUACACACUGCACUAUGCAUUGUUACACACUGCACUACACAUUGUUACACACUGCACUAUGCAUUGUUACACACUGCACUAUACAUUGUUACACACUGCACUAUACAUUGUUACACAUACAUUGUUACACACUGUACUACACAUUGUUACACACUGCACUACGCAUUGUUACACACUGCACUACGCAUUGUUACACACUGUACUACGCAUUGUUACACACUGCACUACGCAUUGUUACACACUGCACUACGCAUUGUUACACACUGCACUACGCAUUGUUACACACUGCUACACACUGCACUAUACAUUGUUACACACUGUACUAUACAUUGUUACACACUGCACUAUUGUUACACACUGUACUACACAUUGUUACACACUGCACUACACAUUGUUACACACUGCACUAUACAUUGUUACACACUGUACUACGCAUUGUUACAUACUGCACUACGCAUUGUUACACACUGUACUACACACUGUUACAUACUGUACUACACACUGUACUACACACUGUUCUACACACUGUACUACACACUGUACUACACACUGUUACAUACUGUACUACACACUGUACUACACACUGUUACAUACUGUACUACACACUGUACUACACACUGUACUCCACACUGUUCUACACACUGUACUACACACUGUUCUACACACUGUACUACACACUGUACUGCACACUGUUCUACACACUGUACUACACACUGUACUACACACUGUUACAUACUGUACUACACACUGUACUACACACUGUACUACACACUGUUACAUACUGUACUACACACUGUACUACACACUGUACUGCACACUGUACUACACACUGUACUACACACUGUUCUACACACUGUACUGCACACUGUACUACACACUGUACUACACACUGUUACAUACUGUACUACACACUGUACUACACACUGUUCUACACACUGUACUACACACUGUACUACACACUUGCUGA